CACGGAGGCCUCAAGCGUUGUUCGGAAUUACUGGGCGUAAAGGGUGCGUAGGCGGCGAGGUAAGUCAGAUGUGAAAGCCCGGGGCUCAACCCCGGAAUUGCAUCCGAUACUGCCUUGCUUGAGGAUUGGAGAGGAGACUGGAAUUCACGGUGUAGCAGUGAAAUGCGUGGAUAUCGUGAGGAAGGCCAAUGGCGAAGGCAGGUCUCUGGACAAUUCCUGACGCUGAUGCACGAAGGCCAGGGGAGCAAAAAGG
Molecule: ribosomal RNA, 253 nt
Filed under: uncultured bacterium
Lineage: Bacteria
Description: partial 16S ribosomal RNA
Rfam family: Bacterial small subunit ribosomal RNA
Source: RNAcentral